Long non-coding RNA from Sinocyclocheilus rhinocerous, 487 nucleotides. RefSeq lists it as uncharacterized. The transcript is spliced from 3 exons. Lineage: Eukaryota; Metazoa; Chordata; Actinopteri; Cypriniformes; Cyprinidae. The record is from RefSeq and is a predicted model, not a curated record.
UUGGAUCAAUGGGGAUAAUGCGGAGCCCCAGCAUCUAAUUUCAUCCGUGAAGACUCCACUCGUACGCGCCUGCUGCUGUUGCUGGAAUAAACACUAUGAGUUACUGUCGACGAUGGGCCUGCUUUCUAAAAACAACCUGUUGAAAGUGUUUCUCCAUGACCCUGCCUCCUGGUAAAUGUUUAUGGGAGAUAUUAUUUCGCCGCUCGGUUGCCAUGGCAGAAAGGGAAGGUGUCUGCGCGGUGUCCACUUUUCUUCACAUGGCGCUUUUCUCGCUCUGAACGCAGUCUGCAUGUAAAUAUAUUGGAGAUAAACCGCUUCACAUCGUACUGAGGAACUCUGGGAGAGUUUGACAACGUGGGACAUCGAGUGCAUAACUGGUUUUCGCCUGAAUAAGAGCAAAACAGCAACGAGGCCACCGAAGAGGCUGUUUUCUUGGGCAAAGCACCACUAAUUUCUAACAUUCUCCUUUGUUUGUGUUAACAGACAG